ACGUACGGCCAUAGAUACUGGAAUGCACGGGAUCCCGUCCGCUCUCCCCUAGUUAAACCAGUAAUCGGCGGAUUAGUAGUUGGGUCGGUGACGACCAGCGAAUACCCGCUGCUGUACGUU
Molecule: ribosomal RNA, 120 nt
Organism: Ophiostoma piceae
Lineage: Eukaryota; Fungi; Ascomycota; Sordariomycetes; Ophiostomatales; Ophiostomataceae
Source: Rfam